UCUUCCCUGUGCAGACAUCCACUUCUUCUCUCCCUGAUCCAAAUCACGAAAUAGUGUUGACGGUUCCCCUGCGCUCCUCCCCUCGGCUUCUAGCGGCGCGCAGCAGCCCCGGCCGGUGUUCUGGCGAUCCCGAAGCCCCAUGCCCAGGUACGAAGCCCCCCUUUCCCCAGUGAUCCUUCCCCAUGGCGGCUAGCCCCUGCUAGGAAGCCGGCGCAGGAUCCAUGUAGGGCAGCCCUUCUCUUGCCGUGUGUGGCCCUGCCUCUGGCCCUGCAGCCGCGACAUGCUAGCACGAGACCCAGGGAAAGCGUGCCGAUCAGAACCGCCCAUACACUGUCGUUCACGCCGUGCCGCGCUAUGCCUGCUGUCGCGUCGUCCGCUAUUGUCGAAGUCGCAUCGUGCCGCGCUGCUCCUGCUGUUGCGUCGUCCGCUGUUGUCGAAGACGCGUCAUGUCGCGCUGCUCCAGCUAUCGUGUCGUCUGCCGCCGUUGAAGUCGCGUCGUCACGUCGAGGUGAGCGUCACUCCUCUCCCUCCCGUGCAAGAUCGUGUGGAGCAGGCAGCCAUUGGAGCGGCUCCUAUGGUGCAGCCCCAUGCGGCUAGCCCGAGCUCGCCCCCUACACGGCCGCUGCCCGUGGUAGUCCGGUGGUCGGCCGCUUGGCCACCUCCACUCCCCUGCUCACGCCAAGCGCGUCCCCUACCCCUGGUCGCCCCUAACCCCAUGCUAGCGGAGGUGCUGCUCGCCGGCCGAGCAGCCGUGGCCCCCUGAGCUCCCCUGCGCGCGAAUCUCCAGCUCAUCUCCCAGCGUGCAGCCAUGGCGGGUGUGGCCGAGGUCCCCUGCGCAUGGCCAGCGCCCAGCUUGCCCCUCCCCCUGCGUGUCCCGGUGCAGCCGAUGGCCAGCGACCGGCGCGGUGACCUGCUCUGUCCUCGGCUCCCUUCCAACCUGGCCAGCUUCCCCCGGCGGCCUAGCCAAGCCCCUGCCCCUCACGGUGGCUUCCUGAGUCCUAGGAAGAAGGAGAGAAAUCUGUCAUUGUGAGUGCAUCUGGAAAAAAAGGGAAACUACCCACGGUCCCACCUGCAUGUCGUUCUUUCCGUGAACGUGAUACUCUUGCCAUGCGUUUGGAGAAAGCAUUUGGCCCCAUGUGCAUGCACGAUCCCCUACAUGCAGCUAAUAGAAAUUUAACCUCACACCAUCCCUUUGAUCUUCUGUGCCCAAGAUCCUGUGGUCACCCGUGUGGCCAAGCGCAGACCAAUCAGAUUAUGACACAUCUCCUUUAAACCGUGAUAUACUAAACACACGAUAUCUCUUGUGUUAUAGGUCCGAUACACUCUAUUCAAGUUGCGUUAGAUUUAUAUUAAUGUUGUCUAUGCGUUAAAAAUAAUGUUCCAUCAUUUCAUAUGUUUCGAAUAAUCUAUUAAAUAUUUGUUUUAAAAUUAGUUUUCCAAUUGAAACUAAUUUAUAAUUCUUUUACCCGAGAUUUUAUAAAUAAAUACUAAGUUGAUUAAUACCAACCAAAAUAUUUAGAAUUAAUACUUGGCUAGUAUAAACGUGAUAUCUGUUAGUGAUUCUCGCUUGUCGCGUGUUGGGGGCCUUCGGCUUCCGAAGGUCCUCAAAAACAUGAUUUAACAAUGUUUCUGGAGUACAAUGUGUGAACAGAUAUCUUCGGACCCAAGUUAAAACCACAAUGUGAAGAAGCACAGAAGGGGUACGAAGGAUGGCGCGGAGCCGAAGCUGUGUGUAGAAGAGCUUCGGCAUGAUAAGCGGAAAGGGAAACCGACUUAAAGAUGAAAAGGCUAUUUAAACCUCGAUGAAUUAUUAUAGAGUUAUUAGCAGAUGUAAAGGGCAUUGGUGUAAUUUUACAUGGGUUGCGUCUCACGCAUAUAAAUAGAUGAACAGUAACCCUGUACUGUUCAUGCUGACUUGGCAUUUGCUUUUGCGUCACGCU
RNAcentral lists this long non-coding RNA (1940 nucleotides) under Zea mays. RNAcentral's name for it is "long non-coding RNA (ZMAY_LNC003001)". The record is from RNAcentral. Lineage: Eukaryota; Viridiplantae; Streptophyta; Magnoliopsida; Poales; Poaceae.